RNAcentral lists this ribosomal RNA (507 nucleotides) under fungal endophyte. RNAcentral describes it as "eukaryotic LSU rRNA". The stretch from base 132 to 285 matches the Rfam family "5.8S ribosomal RNA". Lineage: Eukaryota; Fungi. The record is from RNAcentral.
UCACCCUGUGACAUACCUAAACGUUGCUUCGGCGGGAACAGACGGCCCCGUGAAACGGGCCGCCCCCGCCAGAGGACCCCUAACUCUGUUUCUAUAAUGUUUCUUCUGAGUAAAACAAGCAAAUAAAUUAAAACUUUCAACAACGGAUCUCUUGGCUCUGGCAUCGAUGAAGAACGCAGCGAAAUGCGAUAAGUAAUGUGAAUUGCAGAAUUCAGUGAAUCAUCGAAUCUUUGAACGCACAUUGCGCCCGCCAGUAUUCUGGCGGGCAUGCCUGUUCGAGCGUCAUUACAACCCUCAGGCCCCCGGGCCUGGCGUUGGGGAUCGGCGGAGCCCCCCGUGGGCACACGCCGUCCCCCAAAUACAGUGGCGGUCCCGCCGCAGCUUCCAUCGCGUAGUAGCUAACACCUCGCGACUGGAGAGCGGCGCGGCCACGCCGUAAAACACCCAACUCUUCUGAAGUUGACCUCGAAUCAGGUAGGAAUACCCGCUGAACUUAAGCAUAUCAAA